AUCGCCUUUCUGAAUGAAGAGCCCUCUUCACUGCCCCACCCUCACCUUAGAAUUCUCUCCUCUUUCCAAAGAAUGGCAGUUGAACCUCACUGGCCCCUGUGGGGAGGCUGGGGACUACUCCUGCAUUCCCCCCCCCCCGCCCCCAUUACAGUCUCCCUGCUUCACCUUCACCAGGCGACUUUACUUACCUACCCCUGGGAAAAGAGGAGAUAAUGACCUUAAUAUGUCCAAAAGUCACACCCUGACUACCCAAGAAUUAGCUCUUACCAUCACCCUUUCUCUUCUCUCACUUUCCUAGGGGGUGCUGGGUGGUGUCUCCUUGGGGGAAAGAAAUGACUAGGUUGGGGGAAAAGGAAUAUUUGUAACCAUAUUCCCAUCUCUGCUUUCCCAACCUCUCCAAGUGAGACUGAGGGUGUGCCCAGUACUGCCAUCCGAGAGAUCUCUCUGCUUAAGGAGCUUAACCAUCCUAAUAUUGUCAAGCUGCUGGAUGUCAUUCACACAGAAAAUAAACUCUACCUGGUUUUUGAAUUUCUGCACCAAGAUCUCAAGAAAUUCAUGGAUGCCUCUGCUCUCACUGGCAUUCCUCUUCCCCUCAUCAAGAGCUAUCUGUUCCAGCUGCUCCAGGGCCUAGCUUUCUGCCAUUCUCAUCGGGUCCUCCACCGAGACCUUAAACCUCAGAAUCUGCUUAUUAACACAGAGGGGGCCAUCAAGCUAGCAGACUUUGGACUAGCCAGAGCUUUUGGAGUCCCUGUUCGUACUUACACCCAUGAGGUGGUGACCCUGUGGUACCGAGCUCCUGAAAUCCUCCUGGGCUGCAAAUAUUACUCCACAGCUGUGGACAUCUGGAGCCUGGGCUGCAUCUUUGCUGAGAUGGUGACUCGCCGGGCCCUAUUCCCUGGAGAUUCUGAGAUUGACCA
Molecule: small RNA, 917 nt
Filed under: Pongo abelii (Sumatran orangutan)
Lineage: Eukaryota; Metazoa; Chordata; Mammalia; Primates; Hominidae
Description: processed transcript
Source: RNAcentral